AGGUCCUCAAUAAGUAUUUGUUGAAAGAAUAAAAGAACCAACAAGUCUUAUUUGAGCACCUGUUAUG
Molecule: microRNA precursor, 67 nt
Filed under: Felis catus (domestic cat)
Lineage: Eukaryota; Metazoa; Chordata; Mammalia; Carnivora; Felidae
Also listed under: 5 other names
Description: mir-1264 microRNA precursor family
Rfam family: mir-1264 microRNA precursor family
Source: Rfam by way of RNAcentral